GGAGUCGGCCGGUUAAUCGCUGUCAGUUUACUGAUGGAGGAAAGUCCGGGCUCCGCAGGGCAGAGUGCCAGGUAACGCCUGGGCGGAGUGAUCCGACGGCAAGUGCAGCAGAAAAUAUACCGCCUAAGCAGUCUGUGACUGCCGGUAAGGUUGAAAUGGUGCGGUAAGAGCGCACCGGCAGUCUGGUGACAGGCUGGCCUGGUAAACCCCACCCGGAGCAAGACCGCGUAGGAAUGCUGUCUCAUCGGCUGUGCGGCUCGUA
RNAcentral lists this RNase P RNA (262 nucleotides) under Gammaproteobacteria bacterium. Its description in RNAcentral is "partial RNase P RNA component class A". It matches the Rfam family "Bacterial RNase P class A", at positions 1 to 259 of the family's 367-position model. From Rfam's summary of the family: Ribonuclease P (RNase P) is a ubiquitous endoribonuclease, found in archaea, bacteria and eukarya as well as chloroplasts and mitochondria. Its best characterised activity is the generation of mature 5'-ends of tRNAs by cleaving the 5'-leader elements of precursor-tRNAs. Lineage: Bacteria; Pseudomonadati; Pseudomonadota; Gammaproteobacteria. The record is from RNAcentral.